RNAcentral lists this ribosomal RNA (253 nucleotides) under uncultured bacterium. RNAcentral describes it as "partial 16S ribosomal RNA". It matches the Rfam family "Bacterial small subunit ribosomal RNA", at positions 524 to 776 of the family's 1533-position model. The record is from RNAcentral.
UACGUAGGAGGCGAGCGUUGUCCGGAAUCACUGGGCGUAAAGCGCGUGUAGGCGGGGGGGCAAGUCUGCUGUGAAAGCGCCUGGCUUAACCGGGCGAGGUCGGCGGAAACUGCUUCCCUGGAGGGCGGUAGAGGGGGGUGGAAUUCCCGGUGUAGUGGUGAAAUGCGUAGAGAUCGGGAGGAACACCUGUGGCGAAGGCGGCCCCCUGGGCCGUACCUGACGCUGAGACGCGAAGGCGUGGGGAGCGAACGGG